AUACGUAGGGUGCGAGCGUUAAUCGGAAUUACUGGGCGUAAAGCGUGCGCAGGCGGUUUGAUAAGUCAGAUGUGAAAGCCCCGGGCUCAACCUGGGAACUGCGUUUGAAACUAUCAGACUGGAGUAUGGCAGAGGGGGGUAGAAUUCCACGUGUAGCAGUGAAAUGCGUAGAGAUGUGGAGGAAUACCAAUGGCGAAGGCAGCCCCCUGGGUCAAUACUGACGCUCAUGCACGAAAGCGUGGGGAGCAAACAGGAUUAGAUACCCUGGUAGUCCACGCCCUAAACGAUGUCUACUAGUUGUUGGGAGAGUAAAAUCUCUUAGUAACGCAGCUAACGCGUGAAGUAGACCGCCUGGGGAGUACGGUCGCAAGAUUAAA
RNAcentral lists this ribosomal RNA (377 nucleotides) under uncultured bacterium. Its description in RNAcentral is "bacterial SSU rRNA". It matches the Rfam family "Bacterial small subunit ribosomal RNA", at positions 523 to 898 of the family's 1533-position model. The record is from RNAcentral.